Molecule: long non-coding RNA, 728 nt
Filed under: Homo sapiens (human)
Lineage: Eukaryota; Metazoa; Chordata; Mammalia; Primates; Hominidae
Description: HSALNT0296582
Source: RNAcentral
GAAAGACACUAGAAUAAUAUGGUUGGUCUAAAGCACUCAAGAUUUAGAAUCAAUGGAGGCUUGUGUUCAAGUUGAGAUUUUACCACCACUUAUCAGCUGUAUCCUCUGGUUUUACUUAAUUGUAGGUCUACUGAUCACUGCCUUCCCUGCUCUGCCAUCAUACAAAUUAUCUCAUAGGAUUGUUUUGAGGAUUAAACAAAACACCAACCACGGGUCACAGAUUAUGACAUUUUCAAGGUUCGUUGGCAAAAGGGACUUGCCUUGUCUCAGACGAGACUAUGGAUUUUGACCUUUGGAUGAAUGCUGAAAUGAGUUAAGACUUUGGGGAACUGUUGGGAAGGCAUAAUUGUGUUUUGAAAUGUGAGAAACAGGAGAUUUGGGAGGGACCAGGGGUAGAAUGAUAUAGUCUGGCUCUGUGUCCUCACCCAAAUCUCAUCUUGAAUUGUAAUACAAAUUAUAAUCCCUACAUGUUGGGGAGAGACCUCAUGGGAGGUGAUUAGAUCAUGGGGGUAGUUCCCCCAAGCUGUUCUCAUGAUAGUGAGGGAGUAGUCAUGAGAUCUGAUGGUUUUAUAGGGGAUUUUUCCUCCUUCACUCUGCACUUCUUGCUGCUGCCUUGUGAAGAAGGACAUGUUUGCUUCCCCUGCCGUCAUGAUUGUAAAUUUCCUGAGGCAUGCGAUGAGUAAUAAUCACAUCAUGUAAAAUGGGGUAUCCAUGCCCUCAAGCAUUUA